CUCCUUCAUCCAGAAGAGGAAAGUAGAGACAGGAUAGUACAGGAUAGGUCCAAAGCUGGCUUCAGGCAAAAGGCCAGUUCCAGAGAAGAAGGGUUUGAAACAAGACCAAAGCCUGUGGUUGUUGAAUCAACUGUUACUUGUUUUACAAAUUUGUCUGAGGGAUUGCCAGAAGCAAGUGUCCUCUGGUCACCUGUUCCUUUGUGCAGUGUGGCUUCUGAGCGAGAUUUCUCUGAGUUGGAGUUGGGACCAUUCUCACAUUCCACCACAUGGCUCACUCGGGUGGAUUUCAUGAUCCAACACUCUAUGUUUGGCAAUGGAGAAGUGAUGUCAAGUCUCAGGCACCAGUACAAGAGGAUGGUUUUUGACAUGUGGUCUGUGGUUAGUCCCAGAAUCACAGUGUAAGCAAGAAGAGGCAUGUGACUAACAACCAAUGCCACCAUUUCUGAGAGCAAAUCCUCCAGAGUUCAUCUCAUCUAGAUCAUUCCACUGAAUCCUGUCACCACUCCGGUGAUUGAGAGGAACCAGCAGGAGUGAGAGGAAGGGGAAGAGGAAGAUCAAUACACAAGUACAGCAGAGUCCUGGAAAACCGUGGUCCCAGAUGUGACUCCUGGAGUUUCUGCAGCCAUCUUGCUGUCACCCUAGGAAUGAAACCAACCCAGAAGAUAGCAGAGAGAAGUGAAAGAAAUUGCAUCCUUGAUGAUAUGGCUGAGCCAGUGAAUCAACCAACCCUGAAAAUACCCUACUUCUGAGCCUUUUCAUAUGCAAAAUAAUACAUUUCCUUGUUGCCUAGUUCCAUUUGAGACGAUACUUUCCACUGCUUGCAGCUGAGUCCCUAAAAGAUACAUAUGCACAAAUUUAGAAAAUAAUUGAUGAUUACACAAGUUAUUAAUUGCUCCCUCUUUCCCCCUUUGCCUUAUUUUGUUCACUUCCCGUGGGUACAUUUGGGGAAGGGAGUUUGCAGGGGCUCUUAUUACACUCACUUCUCUAAUGGGUCUAUACUUCAGCUUGUUUCUCUGCUGCCACUUGACUUGGACUCACUCCUAGUUCUGGCCCAAGUUUCUAAGUCCUUUCCCUGCUGGUCACUGCUUGGAAAGCCCCAGCCAUAAAUGUCCUCUCCCUUCACUCCUCCAAAGCAGCAGUGCUAAUUUCUGAGUAUCAAACUUUUAUUGAAGUUUUGGGGUUAACAGAGAGCAACAUAUGCAAAAACAACUUCACGCUGAAUGUCAGCCAUUCCUAUCCCAAGGAAUUCAUUGCUCAUUCCGUCCACAUGGAAUUUACCACCGACUACAUUCCUUCAGGGACCCUAACUUCCCACCAUGUUACUGAGCCUCUCUCUCUCUCUUUCUCUCUCUACUGUACCUACCUUCUUCUUUCCCAGGUACUUUUGCCAUAUCAAGGUUCUAGUGGACCACUCCAAACCUCCUGUUAUUUUACUCCAUAGAAAAGUUACCUGGUGUUUGUUUAAACUUCUAUUCCAGUGAUGCCCAUAUACCUUCAACACCAAACAAGCUUGUGAAGGCAUUUUCCUAAACAAAAGAAUAAUUUUGCCUCUGAAAGAGGAACUCUGACUUCCUCUUAGGUCAAUCUGCUCAAAUUCAGCCAGCUCUUAAAAUAUCAUUGGUUUUCUUGUUACUAAUACUAAAAAUGGGAAUAACGAUACCUAUCUUAUAGCAUUUGCUAGAAAGCUUUAUCAUUAAGGUUAGCAAAAAUAUUUAUCUGUGUGCCUCAUUUUUCUCAUCUGUAAAAUGAAGAUGAAUAAUAAUACCUACAUUAUAGCUCAUAAAGUUUUUGUGAUGAUUAGAGGAAUUAAUAUAAGCAAAGAGCUUUGAACAGUGCCCGGUGUAUAGUAAGUAUUCAACAAAUGUUAACAGCUGCUGCUGCUGCUGCUGUUAAUCAAACAUCUUUGAUCUAAAAAGGUUGUUUGGACAUGCUGGGAUGGGGAGAUAAGAGCACCUAGAGCACAUGAUUACGGUGAGGACUGAAUGAUACAUACGACCUAAAAGAGUACCUGACAUAUUGGUGACAAGUGAAGGCAGGCUGUUAAUGCUGGGGAUUAGUAAUAGUGUAAUAGUGUAUGUAAAGUCCUGAACAAGGUAGAAGAUCAAUAGUAUGAGAUACUAUCAUUUUGCUUCUCAGGGAAGUUAUGGACGAUGUUAGAGACUGAGGCAGGAUUAGGGCAGCUGGUGAUUUUUAAAAUCCUGGCAAGAGGCCUCAUUCUGAUUCCUAUAUUAUGUGUUAUUGUUGUCACUCUUAUUAGUAUUAUCAGCAGAAAUAGCAGUAAUGUGGUGUGAUGGCUGAGCAGCAGUUUAUGCCAGGUAUUGUUACAUAUUCUAUGGGUGAAUAGAGAUAGAUGUAGCCCAGAUCUUGCUUAUAAGGUGCAUGCAGGAAGAAAGGCCCAGGGUUCAUUGCCCACUCCCAGUCUUUACCCUAUCUUGCUUGCCAAUGGGGACUAAGCCAGCCUUUAGGAGAGUUUGCUUGAAGUCAGCUUUCAUUCAAGCAAUUGGCACCCUACCAACAAUGAGGGUCAGCAGGAGGUUGACAGCAUGAAGCCCCAUAAGCAGGAUGGCUUCCCCAUGCUACAGGGGUGAUAAGGAAACAGAAAACCAGCCUUUUGUUCUGUUCCUUUCCCAGUUUUUCCUAGACCCAAAUGAGCCAGCAAGCCCCAACAGCCACCCCAGGAGUUUAGAAUGAACAGGGAAAUAAGAAAACUAGAAAACAGCUGAGCCUUGAGCCCAGACACCAGACAUUACCAAAGACAUGGGGUCAAGGUGACUGGAGGUAUUAGAAUCCCUCAGGAGCAGUAACAGGAUGUCAGGGAACCAGAGAGAGAUGCUCUCUGUCCUUCCUGUGGAAGUGCUGAGAGAAUUAGAGAAUAUUUAUGGCAUUUCCAUGGAUAUUUACAAAUUCAUCCUACACAGAUUAAGCAGGCAACAGCAGCAGGUGCACACAGGUGAGAGUCUAAGCAGUAGGGUAGAUUGGUUGGGGGGCCAACCACAGGCCACCUGUCUUAUUUGGUGAGGCAGAGCCAAGCCGGGCCCCAGACCCACCGUGUGAGUAUCAGGGUGUCUGGGUAGCACACAGUGUACCCAGUGGACACUGGCCAGGGGAGGCCUCUCUGAACAUGAGGCUGGGAUGAUUCGGCCUCCAAAUAGCAGAAAAUAAAACAUCAGGAACUUGGGUCAACUAAACACUGAAAAUUGGAGAAGAUCUCUUGAGCUACCUGCCCAGAAUCUCAAAAGCUCCUCUCUUAGAAACAAAGACCUUAUGGAAAUAGUUUGUCUCAGGAGUUUCUCAGUCAUUUUGCCAGAAAUAGACACAGGAGGAAAGGGAGAGAAAAACCUGAUGCAAGGAAACCAGCUACUCAACCGACUGACCAUUUUGCUUUAAUAGAAGCCUCUUAAGAAGGAAACUAAUUAAAUGCACCUGCACUAAAAUGAUUACAUGGCUAUUAUCUGCCCACUCAGAGAAAGAGAACCACAAAGUUCAAAACACAGCAAGCAGCAGGCUUAAUUGUCUUUCGUAAGGAAUGGCUUUUGUUUUGCGCAGUGCUCCAUCAAAAACACUAAGUGUUAAUAUACCCUGUAUAAUCUAUCUGGCCAGCUAACUAGUUUAAUCCAUCACACACCGUGUGAAAGUAUACAAGCAGGUUGGUAAUGACAAGUUAAUAGUAGAGGCAGGAAAUAAAAUGGAGAAACACACUUUGAUUGAUGGUGCAGAACUAUUAGGUGCUACUAUGGAUGGACUCUGUCUGGUUUUAUAUAGUGGCCAGUCAAAGCAAAAUAGAUCUAGUAAUUUAAAACUUUAAACAUAUCCCCUCAAUUAAAAAUUUAAAAGGCCAGUGGUUGUAUUGCAUUCCUUUUGAACAAUAAAAGUUCAAUUACAGCCAACUCUCAAAUAUCUACAAGUGGAUCUACCAUAACAAAUCUCAAUCUCUGCUCCUCAUUGCCCUGAUUAUCUGCUCUGCCAGCCCAACCCCCUUAGUUACCAAAAUCUCUACUUUGCCUCUAUGUACAAUCUUAUACCAAGCGCAACUGCAUGAAAGAGAUGGAGCAUUUAAAACCAAACAUUCGGUUACCUUCUUUGUCUGCAGAGACUAUGGGAGAAUAAGAUAUACCAAUCUUAGAAGAUCAGAGGGAUCUACUUAGGCUGAUGACUUACUGAAAUCUGAAAAUAAUGCUAUCCAUGUUUAAGACCGUGAGAGAAAAUUAGGAAGUCUCACAGAGGCAAAAUGGGAAACACACAUGGCUCUCCAGCACUUCUUAUUGUUCAAUAUACUGGAGCAUGGUAGAGUCAACUGAACCUCAUAAGCAAAGCUGGUGCCCUCUUGGUCUGUUUGGUAGCUAUAGAGCACAAAUGGCCAAUACUUUAUAAAUAAGUCCUCACAUAUUAGAAUAUGUGGUUGUCUAGGAAUUUAUUCCAGCAAUAGAAUCUUUGUCUUCCUCUCUCUCUCUCUCUCUUUCUCUUUCAUACACACACAUGUGAUGUACAUAAAAGAUGAAUCACUGUAUUACCAUUGCAACAGCAAAAUAAUAGAAACAACCUAAUAUGUCCAUAAAGAGAGGACUGGUUAAAUAAGUACGGUACAACCAGCAAUGAGAUUCUAAUAGGUGUUAAAAAAGGAGAAAGAAAUAACAAAGAUCUCUCUAUACUAAUACGAAAUUAUCUCCGAGUCAUAUUGUCAAGGUUUUUUUUAAAAAAAGCAAAGUGCAGAAGACUGUAUAUACUAUAAUACCAGUUGUAUUAAAAAACUGUGGCUACCCACACACAUACUUCUUAUAUAUGCAUAAAAUAUCUCUCAAAAAACAACAUAAGGACUUCAUAACCUUGGCUGCCUCUAAGGCAGGAAACUGAGUGGAUGGGGACAGGGAUGGAGACACUUAUUUUCAUUAUACACUUUCAAACCUUUUGCAUUUUGAAUGUAUGAAUAUAUUGCCUAUUGAAAAGCAAAGAAAUUGCCUCAUUAGACCCCUUAAUCUAUGCUCCCAGCUCUCACAUCCCUUGUUUCCCAUCAAUUUAGUCACUCUAGUUUCUCUAUGUGUGCAGGCACACUAUGAUCCACAGGUUGUUCUUCUCUAAUCUUCGUUUCUGUCUUGUCUAUCUGCGUCAGGAAUCACUUCUCAUUAAAGAGAUAUCUCCGUUAAUAUUUUUCUGUGCCUCUCGGUUCCAACCUGACAGUUUAAUAUCAAAUCAUCUAGCAAUGGUUUUAAUUACGUCCACCUGAAGGUCCAGAAAUAACUCAGCAGAGCCUCAG
Molecule: long non-coding RNA, 5251 nt
Filed under: Homo sapiens (human)
Lineage: Eukaryota; Metazoa; Chordata; Mammalia; Primates; Hominidae
Description: HSALNT0146472
Source: RNAcentral